UGGGGUUGACUCUCUUUCCUUAACUCAUGCCGCUGUGCCUUUUUAUUUGUUUCACAAUUGUGUGAGUUGAGUACAGAGUGUCAAUCCA
Molecule: microRNA precursor, 88 nt
Organism: Patagioenas fasciata monilis
Lineage: Eukaryota; Metazoa; Chordata; Aves; Columbiformes; Columbidae
Rfam family: mir-1426 microRNA precursor family
Source: Rfam